This 542-nucleotide ribosomal RNA is filed under the name uncultured bacterium. Its description in RNAcentral is "bacterial SSU rRNA". It matches the Rfam family "Bacterial small subunit ribosomal RNA", at positions 355 to 896 of the family's 1533-position model. The record is from RNAcentral.
UGAGGAAUAUUGGUCAAUGGGCGAGAGCCUGAACCAGCCAAGUAGCGUGCGGGAUGAAGGCCCUUGUGGUCGUAAACCGCUUUUAUCAGUGAAUAAAGUGCACCACGUGUGGUGUCAUUGCAGGUAGCUGAAGAAAAAGGACCGGCUAAUUCCGUGCCAGCAGCCGCGGUAAUACGGAAGGUCCGGGCGUUAUCCGGAAUUAUUGGGUUUAAAGGGAGCGCAGGCGGGAGUGUAAGUCAGCUGUUAAAUAUCAGGGCCCAACUCUGUUAUGCAGUUGAAACUAUAUUUCUUGGGUACGCACAGGGAUGGCGGAAUUCAGGGUGUAGCGGUGAAAUGCUUAGAUAUCCUGAAGAACUCCGAUCGCGAAGGCAGCCAUCCGGAGCGUAACUGACGCUGAGGCUCGAAGGUGCGGGUAUCGAACAGGAUUAGAUACCCUGGUAGUCCGCACGGUAAACGAUGAAUACUCGCAGUUCGGCCUUUUAGGUCGAGUUGUCCAGCGAAAGCGUUAAGUAUUCCACCUGGGGAGUACGCCGGCAACGGUG